AGAGUUUGAUUAUGGCUCAGGAUGAACGCUGGCGGCGUGCCUAACACAUGCAAGUCGAGCGGAGAUAGUUGAAGCCUAGCGAUGACUAUCUUAGCGGCGGAUGGGUGAGUAACACGUGGGUAACCUGCCCUGUACUGGGGAAUAACAGCUGGAAACGGCUGUUAAUGCCGCAUAUGCGCACGGAGCCGCAUGGCCCUGGGCGGAAAGAUUUAUCGGUACAGGAUGGGCCCGCGCCGGAUUAACUAGUUGGCGGGGUAACAGCCCACCAAGGUGAUGAUCCGUAGCCGACCUGAGAGGGUGACCGGCCACAUUGGGACUGAGACACGGCCCAAACUCCUACGGGAGGCAGCAGUGGGGGAUAUUGCACAAUGGGGGAAACCCUGAUGCAGCGACGCCGCGUGAAGGAUGACGUAUUUCGGUAUGUAAACUUCUAUCAGCGGGGAAGAAGAUGACGGUACCCGACUAAGAAGCCCCGGCUAACUACGUGCCAGCCGCAGC
RNAcentral lists this ribosomal RNA (498 nucleotides) under uncultured bacterium. Its description in RNAcentral is "bacterial SSU rRNA". It matches the Rfam family "Bacterial small subunit ribosomal RNA", at positions 8 to 518 of the family's 1533-position model. The record is from RNAcentral.